This 495-nucleotide ribosomal RNA is filed under the name uncultured bacterium. Its description in RNAcentral is "partial 16S ribosomal RNA". It matches the Rfam family "Bacterial small subunit ribosomal RNA", at positions 28 to 505 of the family's 1533-position model. The record is from RNAcentral.
GAUGAACGCUGGCGGCGUGCCUAAUACAUGCAAGUCGAGCGAACAGACGAGGAGCUUGCUCCUCUGACGUUAGCGGCGGACGGGUGAGUAACACGUGGAUAACCUACCUAUAAGACUGGGAUAACUUCGGGAAACCGGAGCUAAUACCGGAUAAUAUAUUGAACCGCAUGGUUCAAUAGUGAAAGACGGUUUUGCUGUCACUUAUAGAUGGAUCCGCGCCGCAUUAGCUAGUUGGUAAGGUAACGGCUUACCAAGGCAACGAUGCGUAGCCGACCUGAGAGGGGGAUCGCCCACACUGGAACUGAGACACGGUCCAGACUCCUAGGGGAGGCAGCAGUAGGAAAUCUUCCGAAAGGGGCGAAAGCCUGACGGAGCAACGCCGCGUGAGUGAUGAAGGUCUUCGGAUCGUAAAACUCUGUUAUUAGGGAAGAACAAAUGUGUAAGUAACUAUGCACGUCUUGACGGUACCUAAUCAGAAAGCCACGGCUAACUACG